GUGGUUUGGCCUUUUCCUCACAAGCAGAUUAACAGUUCUGGGUAGAUGAGAUCUGCUUCAUCAGGGAAAGCGUCAGCGUCCUUUUUCAGGUCCGAGUGAUAAAGGAGGAAAGGGAAAUAGCUUGGCAGAUGGAAAAAGGCUGUUCCAGAUGUGUCAGAGAUUGCCUUUGCAUGUUUCUGGAAGCAGAAGACUGAUAAUCCUGGCCGGGCCUCAUCGGUCGUCCCCAGGAAGUGCUGAGUCACCACCUCCGCGCACUUCUCUCUUAUCUGGCUCAUCCACUGGUAGAUCUGCAGCAGCCGGAGGACUGAGGCUAUCAAUGAGAAGACCGUUUGCUGCCUCGAAUUAAGAUGACUGCUUCUUUCAUGAACAUACUGAACUCCAAACUCUGCUCUAGGUUGCAACAGCUGUGUGCUAAACAAACCAGAAGAGUAAACCAAAGAAUUAUUACCCACCUCCUCCCAUUUUCAUUAGAGAUCUACCCUGUCACCCAGUCUCAGGACACUGUCGAACUUUACAAAUAAGUUAUUGCAAAUUAACAAUUUCGAUAGUCCACUGAUAACACUUCGGAAACACUGUAUAACAACACAUCCUUCAGAUGGCGCCAACUUCCAGGCUGCCAGGUGGUGCUCCAUCGCGCCGGAAGCUUCAGGUCAGCCUUCUUUUGUGGGAGCUUCUUCAGUCUUUGUGGAUGACAACAAUUUCCUUUGCUGAUGUCUGUGGAUCCAAAAUUGGAGAAGACCUGGGGAUGCCCUUCACAGAACACAAAAGAAGUUUCUAAAUCAAGCCAAGUUAAUCAUUUUGGUCCGCCUGAGUAGACCUGAGUAGAUGCUGAUUUAAUUACAAGCCGUACACCAUGCUAGAAAGGAAGGGCCUGAGACCUUCUCCCGUAAGUCAACACCUUGGGGCUCUAUAAGGGAGAGUGAACAAGGAAUUCACAAAGAUAGGGCAUAUUAAGACAGUCGUCGGCAUGUGAUAUGACACUGCCGCACUCAAUUUCUAGAGUUGAAAUAUCUGACUGACAAGAAUAAUGGUAAAUAAUAAUAGUUAAUUUGCGAUAACAAAUAUUCUAUUUGAAAAUAUUCGUAUCUCAAUUGACAUUCAUCUUGUCAUAGAACCUCCACAGAUAAAAGGCAUGAUUAUAACUAACAGUGCUUAAGUGGGGAGGAGACUGAGAAGUUGUCCCCCGGGGCCCGUGUGCGAUUCUUGAUGGCACUGGGCAGGGUGCAGACGCCUCACAUCCUGGGGAGCUGCACACAGCAGCGAGGGGCAGCAGCAGCAGCAAUGUUUAUCUGCUGUUCAGUGAGCUGUCGUGUGGUUUAUCUCACUUACCCCCGAGACAAAGCUGCGAGAAGGCUACUGCUCUCCCUGCUUCACAUCUGAGGAAACUGAGGCCCGAGGAGGACAAAUGUCUUGGUCAAAGUCACAGAGCAAGUGGCCAAGCCAAGUGUGACCUGUCUCUGAUAGCAGGGCAGUAGUUUUCCAUGGGCCUUACUGGACCUUGUGCAAAAUCGUAGAAUUUUCAGUGCUUUUGAGUGAUU
Molecule: long non-coding RNA, 1538 nt
Filed under: Equus asinus (donkey)
Lineage: Eukaryota; Metazoa; Chordata; Mammalia; Perissodactyla; Equidae
Description: lncRNA (ENSEASG00005036515.1)
Source: RNAcentral